Molecule: ribosomal RNA, 395 nt
Filed under: uncultured bacterium
Lineage: Bacteria
Description: bacterial SSU rRNA
Rfam family: Bacterial small subunit ribosomal RNA
Source: RNAcentral
GUGUCAGCAGCCGCGGUAAUACGGAGGGUGCAAGCGUUGUUCGGAUUUAUUGGGCGUAAAGCGCGUGUAGGCGGUUUCUUAAGUCUGAUGUGAAAGCCCUGGGCUCAACCCAGGAAGUGCAUUGGAUACUGGGAGACUUGAAUACGGGAGAGGGUAGUGGAAUUCCUAGUGUAGGAGUGAAAUCCGUAGAUAUUAGGAGGAACACCGGUGGCGAAGGCGGCUACCUGGACCGAUAUUGACGCUGAGACGCGAAAGCGUGGGGAGCAAACAGGAUUAGAUACCCUGGUAGUCCACGCCGUAAACGAUGAGAACUAGGUGUUGCGGGUAUUGACCCCUGCAGUGCCGCAGCUAACGCAUUAAGUUCUCCGCCUGGGAAGUACGGUCGCAAGACUAAA